Labrus bergylta (ballan wrasse) is the source of this 801-nucleotide long non-coding RNA. RefSeq lists it as uncharacterized. The record is from RefSeq and is a predicted model, not a curated record. NCBI's taxonomy places the organism in Eukaryota, Metazoa, Chordata, Actinopteri, Labriformes, Labridae.
UCACUGAGUCAGAUGACGGUCUUUACUACUGUGGAACUGAAGAACAAAAAGUGGAGGAUAAGGAGCAAAUAACUUCUAAAUAUAUUUAUAUCUACAGCAACAUCACAACAAGAAUCAUAUUCAAUGCAGAACCGAAUGCGACCUCUUGCCCCAAGAUGCUUCAGGACUGUAAUGAGUGCUGGAUUCUGAUCUUCUGUCUGUGUCCAGUUGUAUCUAUUGUCUCCUCUCUCCUCUCCUCACUUGUGGUCUAUCACUGCUGUAAGAAGGCUGAAGAACAUCCUGUUGAUCAGCAAAGACCUGACACUAGAGGUCAUCCAAGACAGAGCCAGGAUGACGAUGUGUGCUAUGCUGCUGUGGAAAUCCAUCAGAAAUCAAAGAGACCAAAGAAGAAGAAGGAACCGCAGACUUCUGACUUCUGCACCUAUUCUGCUCUUAAUACAUCUAAGAUGUAACAGGCCUAAGACCAGAGGAACAAAAAAAAUGAAUUUUAUAUUGUUGAUAUAUAUAGACCAUUCUGUCAUUGCAUAGUUCAAAUAUUGCUGGCUGUAUUAACCACAACAUUCAUCACGGAAAAUAUGCGUCAUGUGGUCUUAUUUCCUUGCGCCACUGAGAUGACUUUUGAAAAUUAAAGGAGCUGUAAAAAUCAGAAAUGAAGAACAAUCUCAUAAGUGUUUGUCGUGGUUGAUUACACUUCAUCUUCAGAAUCUUUAUAUUCUUAAUUGAGAUCAAUUUCAUAAAGUUUGUAAUGGCUGCUGGUCUGAAUCUAGACUGUUCUCUGGCAAUUUCCUGUUUUUAUCUCAA